This 87-nucleotide ribosomal RNA is filed under the name uncultured bacterium. RNAcentral's name for it is "partial 16S ribosomal RNA". The record is from RNAcentral.
CACAUCACGAAAGUGGAUUGUACUAGAAGUCUGCAGGCUGACCCGCAAGGGAGGCAGCGGCCCAAGGUAUGAUACCAUGAUUGGGUG